CGCGUAGGCGGAUUCUCAAGUCCGGGGUGAAAUCCUCCAGCUCAACUGGAGAACUGCCUCGGAUACUGGGUGUCUCGAGGGUGGUAGGGGUAUGCGGAACUAUCGGUGGAGCGGUGAAAUGCGUUGAUAUCGAUAGGAACUCCGGUGGCGAAGGCGGCAUACUGGACCACAUCUGACGCUGAGGCGCGAAAGCCAGGGGAGCGAACG
RNAcentral lists this ribosomal RNA (207 nucleotides) under uncultured bacterium. Its description in RNAcentral is "partial 16S ribosomal RNA". It matches the Rfam family "Bacterial small subunit ribosomal RNA", at positions 568 to 774 of the family's 1533-position model. The record is from RNAcentral.